This 158-nucleotide transfer RNA is filed under the name Candidatus Aenigmatarchaeota archaeon. RNAcentral describes it as "tRNA-Glu". The stretch from base 97 to 150 matches the Rfam family "tRNA", at positions 9 to 63 of the family's 71-position model. Lineage: Archaea; Nanobdellati; Candidatus Aenigmatarchaeota. The record is from RNAcentral.
GCUCCGUUAGUCUAGAGGCCCCUUUCUUUUCAAAAAAAGAAAGGCCCCUGGGUUCAAAGAAAAACCCAAGGCAAGGGUAAUAAAUCCGAGCCAGACAAUCCGGUCAAGGAUGCGGCCCUUUCGAGGCCGUGACCCGGGUUCAAAUCCCGGACGGAGCA